UACGUAGGUCCCGAGCGUUGUCCGGAUUUAUUGGGCAUAAAGCGAGCGCAGGUGGUUUAUUAAGUCUGGUGUAAAAGGCAGUGGCACAACCAUUGUAUGCAUUGGAAACUGAUAGACUUGAGUGCAGGAGAGGAGAGUGGAAUUCCAUGUGUAGCGGUGAAAUGCGUAGAUAUAUGGAGGAACACCGGUGGCGAAAGCGGCUCUCUGGCCUAUAACUGACACUGAGGCUCGAAAGCGUGGGGAGCAAACAGG
RNAcentral lists this ribosomal RNA (252 nucleotides) under uncultured bacterium. Its description in RNAcentral is "partial 16S ribosomal RNA". It matches the Rfam family "Bacterial small subunit ribosomal RNA", at positions 524 to 776 of the family's 1533-position model. The record is from RNAcentral.